This 426-nucleotide ribosomal RNA is filed under the name uncultured bacterium. RNAcentral's name for it is "bacterial SSU rRNA". It matches the Rfam family "Bacterial small subunit ribosomal RNA", at positions 359 to 777 of the family's 1533-position model. The record is from RNAcentral.
GAAUUUUGGACAAUGGGGGAAACCCUGAUCCAGCCAUGCCGCGUGGGUGAAGAAGGCCUUCGGGUUGUAAAGCCCUUUCGGCGGGAAAGAAAUGGUCCGUGCCAAUACCCCGGACUGAUGACGGUACCCGCAGAAGAAGCACCGGCUAACUACGGUCCAGCAGCCGCGGUAAUACGUAGGGUGCGAGCGUUAAUCGGAAUUACUGGGCGUAAAGCGUGCGCAGGCGGCCUUUUAAGCCAGAUGUGAAAUCCCCGGGCUUAACCUGGGAAUUGCAUUUGGGACUGGAAGGCUAGAGUGAGGCAGAGGGGGGUGGAAUUUCCGGUGUAGCAGUGGAAUGCGUAGAUAUCGGAAGGAACACCGAUGGCGAAGGCAGCCCCCUGGGCUAACACUGACGCUCAGGCACGAAAGCGUGGGGAGCAAACAGGA